GGUGAACAGUCCGGUGACGGUGAAUAAUAAUACUCCAGUGGGGGUCAAGGCCUAUGAUAGCAUGGCCCUCAAUAGAGAGAGGAGACUCAACUAUCAAAGGACUCUCCAUCCAUCUCCAGAAUGUGUCGAUGUAGAGGAUUGGUACUAGCAACAACGGACUUGUUUUUUUUUUUUUGUCCUUUUUUUUUUUUUCUUAUAUAAAGUAAACUAUAUUGUAACUUUCUAAAUCUGUGACAAAUACAACAUUAGUCCCCAGCCAGACAUGGGUUGCAUCCCAAUAAUCUCGUAUUUCUCCUGAAGUGUGCUCUUGUUCACUUCCCUCAAUGAGUUUGAAAGGAAAUUACUGGAAUACCUAUAUGGAAACUCCUUCUAGCCCAUGCCUACACAAUCCAAGACUUUUACAUUUGACCACUAGCUGAGCCUAUAUGGAUACUUUUACAUUUGACCACUAGCUGAGCCUAUAUGGAUACUUUUACAGUUGACCACUAGCUGAGCCUAUAUGGAUACUUUUACAGUUGACCACUAGCUGAGCCUAUAUGGAUACUUUUACAGUUGACCACUAGCCGAGCCUAUAUGGACACUUUUACAGUUGACCACUAGCUGAGCCUAUAUGGAUACUUUUACAGUUGACCACUAGCCGAGCCUAUAUGGAUACUUUUACAGUUGAUCACUAGCUGAGCCUAUAUGGAUACUUUUACAGUUGACCACUAGCCGAGCCUAUAUGGAUACUUUUACAGUUGACCACUAGCCGAGCCUAUAUGGAUACUUUUACAGUUGACCACUAGCCGAGCCUAUAUGGACACUUUUACAGUUGACCACUAGCUGAGCCUAUAUGGACACUUUUACAGUUGACCACUAGCUGAGCCUAUAUGGAUACUUUUACAGUUGACCACUAGCUGAGCCUAUAUGGAUACUUUUACAGUUGACCACUAGCCGAGCCUAUAUGGACACUUUUACAGUUGACCACUAGCUGAGCCUAUAUGGAUACUUUUACAGUUGACAACUAGCCGAGCCUAUAUGGAUACUUUUACAGUUGACCACUAGCUGAGCCUAUAUGGAUACUUUUACAGUUGACCACUAGCUGAGCCUAUAUUGUACUAUAUGUAAGUAUCUUGUUUGUGUUUUUUACAUUUUCUUCUGAAUCUGAUGUUUGUGCUACUCAUCUGAAAAUGUGGCGUCUAAUUUGACUAAUAUUCUACGUCCCAAUGGUUGCCCUACACACA
Molecule: long non-coding RNA, 1223 nt
Filed under: Salmo salar (Atlantic salmon)
Lineage: Eukaryota; Metazoa; Chordata; Actinopteri; Salmoniformes; Salmonidae
Description: lncRNA (ENSSSAG00000093307.1)
Source: RNAcentral